UACGUAGGUGGCAAGCGUUGUCCGGAAUUAUUGGGCGUAAAGCGCGCGCAGGCGGUCCUUUAAGUCUGAUGUGAAAGCCCACGGCUCAACCGUGGAGGGUCAUUGGAAACUGGAGGACUUGAGUACAGAAGAGGAAAGCGGAAUUCCACGUGUAGCGGUGAAAUGCGUAGAUAUCUGGAGGAACACCGGUGGCGAAGGCGGCAUCCUGGACCGGCAUUGACGCUGAGGCGCGAAAGCCAGGGGAGCAAACGGG
This 253-nucleotide ribosomal RNA is filed under the name uncultured bacterium. RNAcentral describes it as "partial 16S ribosomal RNA". It matches the Rfam family "Bacterial small subunit ribosomal RNA", at positions 524 to 776 of the family's 1533-position model. The record is from RNAcentral.